This 1485-nucleotide ribosomal RNA is filed under the name uncultured bacterium. RNAcentral describes it as "bacterial SSU rRNA". It matches the Rfam family "Bacterial small subunit ribosomal RNA". The record is from RNAcentral.
AGAGUUUGAUCAUGGCUCAGGACGAACGCUAGCGACGUGCCUAAGAAAUGCAAGUCGAGCGAGGUUGAGGAGCUUGCGCAAGCCUAGCGCGAACGGUCGCGUAACACGUAAGCAACCUGCCCUGAAAUGGGGGAUAGCCCGCCGAAAGACGUUAAUACCGCAUGUGAACACUCUUCCGCAUGCUUGAGUGUUUAAAGCAGCAAUGCUGUUCAGGAUGGGCUUGCGGCUAUCAGCUAGUUGGUGAGGUAACGGCCCACCAAGGCUACGACGGGUAGGGGACCUGAGAGGGUGGUCCCCCACACUGGCACUGAAACACGGGCCAGACACCUACGGGUGGCAGCAGUAGGGAAUAUUGGGCAAUGGGCGAAAGCCUGACCCAGCAACGCCGCGUGCACGAUGAAGGUCUUCGGAUCGUAAAGUGCUUUUCUGAGAGAUGAGAAAGGACAGUAUCUCAGGAAUAAGUCUCGGCUAACUACGUGCCAGCAGCCGCGGUAAAACGUAGGAGGCAAGCGUUAUCCGGAUUUACUGGGCGUAAAGCGCGUGCAGGUGGUUCGGUGAGUUGGAUGUGAAAGCUCCUGGCUCAACUGGGAGAGGUCGUUCGAUACUACCGGACUUGAGAGCAGUAGAGGGAUGUGGAAUUCCCGGUGUAGUGGUGAAAUGCGUAGAUGUCGGGAGGAACACCAGUGGCGAAAUCGGCAUCCUGGACUGUUUCUGACACUCAGACGCGAAAGCUAGGGUAGCAAACGGGAUUAGAGACCCCGGUAGUCCUAGCAGUAAACGAUGUGAACUUGGCGUCGGCGGGUUCAAAGCCGUCGGUGCCGAAGCUAACGCGAUAAGUUCACCUCCUGGGGACUACGGCCGCAAGGUUAAAACUCAAAGGAAUUGACGGGUCCCCGCACAAGCAGCGGAGCGUGUGGUUUAAUUCGAUGUUACACGAAGAACCUUACCCAGGUUUGACAUGUUGGUGGUAGGGAAGCGAAAGCAGACGCACUUCGGGGAGCCUUCACAGGUGUUGCAUGGCUGUCGUCAGCUCGUGUCGUGAGAUGUUCGGUUAAGUCCGCCAACGAGCGCAACCCUCGUCGUAUGUUACAUGUGUCAUACGAGACCGCCGGUAUCAAGCCGGAGGAAGGUGGGGAUGACGUCAAGUCAGCAUGGCCUUCAUAUCUGGGGCUACACACGCGCUACAAUGGCCGGUACAAUGGGUUGCUAAGCCGCGAGGUAGAGCCAAUCCCCAAAGCCGGCCUCAGUUCAGAUCACAGGCUGAAACUCGCCUGUGUGAAGUCGGAGUUGCUAGUAAACGCGCGUCAGCUAUAGUGCGUUGAAUACGUUCCCGGGGAUUGUACACACCGCCCGUCACGUCAUGGGAGCUGGCAACACCUGAAGCCGGUAGCCUAACCGCAAGGAGGGCGCCGUCGAGGGUGGGGUUGGUGACUGGGACGAAGUCGUAACAAGGUAGGUGUACCGGAAGGUGCGCCUGGAUCACCU